AUGCCGCUUGAGUGCUGGAGAAAAAGCGCAAACGCGAUGCGUCGCUGGGCCGUAUCCCCCUCCCUUCCUCCUCCGGCGGCGUUUGCGGCCGCGACUCUCGGACUCGGCGUCGGGCCUCCUCAAGCCCGAGCCCUGGCUUCCGCUGCCACCUCCCCUCCACUCGGACACUGCUCUCCGCCAUGCCCCCGCCCCCGCCGCCGCCGCAGCCUGUGCUCCUCCUCCCCCUCCUCGGCUGCUAUGACGGCACUGGCGGUAGAGGAGGCGCGGCGCGGGCGGAAGCAGCUGGGCAUGGACCCGCCGCUCUACGACUACCUCCUCUCCAACGUCCGCGAGCACCCCGUGCUUCGGGAUCUGCGGGAAGAGACGGCAUCCAUGAGGGGGAGCCAGAUGCAGGUUUCUCCCGCACAGGCUCAGCUUCUGGCAAUGCUUGUGCAAAUUCUUGGUGCAGACCGAUGUAUUGAAGUUGGCGUCUAUACUGGAUAUUCGUCACUAGCUGUCGCAUUAGCACUUCCUGAAUCAGGUCGUUUGGUUGCUUGUGAAAGGGAUGAAAGGUCUCUAGAAGUUGCCAAGAGAUACUAUCAGCUUGCUGGGGUUGCACACAAGGUGGAUGUCAAGCAUACUUUAGCUGUAGAUUCCCUAAGGUCAUUGCUCGAAUGCGGUGAAGCUUCCAGUUAUGACUUUGCAUUCGUUGAUGCAGACAAGAGAAUGUACGAGGAAUAUUUUGAACUUCUACUUAAGCUAGUAAGAGUUGGUGGUUUAAUUGUAAUGGACAAUGUCCUAUGGUAUGGAAGGGUUGCUGAUCCGCUAGUGAAUGACCCAAAUACUAUCAGUAUAAGGGACUUCAAUAAGAAACUUUUGGAGGAUAAACGUGUCACUAUCAGCAUGGUGCCAAUUGGGGACGGGAUGACAAUUUGUCGAAAGCUAGAAGAUGACUGA
RNAcentral lists this ribosomal RNA (936 nucleotides) under Triticum aestivum (bread wheat). RNAcentral describes it as "partial small subunit ribosomal RNA". The record is from RNAcentral. Lineage: Eukaryota; Viridiplantae; Streptophyta; Magnoliopsida; Poales; Poaceae.